UACGAAGGGGGCGAGCGUUGUUCGGAUUUACUGGGCGUAAAGGGCGCGCAGGCGGCGAUUUUUGUCAGGCGUGAAAGCCCCGGGCUCAACCUGGGAACUGCGCUUGAAACGGGAUUGCUAGAGAUCGGGAGAGGAGAGUGGAAUUCCCAGUGUAGAGGUGAAAUUCGUAGAUAUUGGGAAGAACACCGGUGGCGAAGGCGGCUCUCUGGACCGUACCUGACACUGAUGCGCGACAGCAUGGGGAGCAAACAGG
This 253-nucleotide ribosomal RNA is filed under the name uncultured bacterium. Its description in RNAcentral is "partial 16S ribosomal RNA". It matches the Rfam family "Bacterial small subunit ribosomal RNA", at positions 524 to 776 of the family's 1533-position model. The record is from RNAcentral.